UGGGAAUUUGGACAAUGGGGCACCCUGAUCCAGCAAUGCCGCGUGUGUGAAGAAGGCCUUCGGGUUGUAAAGCACUUUUGUCCGGAAAGAAAACGCCGUGGUUAAUACCCGUGGCGGAUGACGGUACCGGAAGAAUAAGCACCGGCUAACUACGUGCCAGCAGCCGCGGUAAUACGUAGGGUGCAAGCGUUAAUCGGAAUUACUGGGCGUAAAGCGUGCGCAGGCGGUCCGCUAAGACAGAUGUGAAAUCCCCGGGCUUAACCUGGGAACUGCAUUUGUGACUGGCGGGCUAGAGUAUGGCAGAGGGGGGUAGAAUUCCACGUGUAGCAGUGAAAUGCGUAGAGAUGUGGAGGAAUACCGAUGGCGGAGGCAGCCCCUGGGCCAAUACUGACGCUCAUGCACGAAAAGCGUGGGGAGCAAACAGGAUUCAGAUACCCUGGUAGUCCACGCCCUAAACGAUGUCAACUAGUUGUCGGGUCUUCAUUGACUUGGUAACGUAGCUAACGCGUGAAG
RNAcentral lists this ribosomal RNA (513 nucleotides) under uncultured bacterium. RNAcentral's name for it is "partial 16S ribosomal RNA". It matches the Rfam family "Bacterial small subunit ribosomal RNA", at positions 357 to 864 of the family's 1533-position model. The record is from RNAcentral.